UUACGGUCAAAUCACGCUAAAACACCGGUUCUCGUACGAUCACCGAAGUUAAGCAGCGUAGAGCCAGGUCAGUACUUAGAUGGGGGACCGCUUGGGAACACCUGGUACUGUAAG
This 114-nucleotide ribosomal RNA is filed under the name Acanthosepion pharaonis. Lineage: Eukaryota; Metazoa; Mollusca; Cephalopoda; Sepiida; Sepiidae. The record is from RNAcentral.